Molecule: long non-coding RNA, 617 nt
Organism: Rana temporaria (common frog)
Lineage: Eukaryota; Metazoa; Chordata; Amphibia; Anura; Ranidae
Exons: 3
Source: RefSeq, a predicted model, not a curated record
GUUUUCAGGCCUCCUGCAGCUGUAAACCCUCCUGCCCCAUGAUGGUGGCACCCAAGUACCAAGAGAUGUCACUUCAUAGGAACUCCUGUCAUUGUUACCAGCAGGAAAUGGAAUUCAUGAAGAAGAGCAGAAGCUCAACUAACCUACUGAUACCUGAGCAGGUCUGGAGUAAAGUUAAAGGCAUAGGAUAUGGAUGUACUGGGAUGAGAUGAAGCUGUGCCUUCCCAUUGGUAACACAAGGAUGGAUAAAGCCACAACAUCAACGUGGGCAGAGAGCUUUCUGAAAUACACCCAAGAGCAGCAUCAGGAUUCCCUGCAAAAGGCAUUUGAAAGCACUUACCAUGGAACCACAAUGAUGAAUUUUAAAGGCAACCAAUAAGAAACUUUUAGAGCAAAUCUCAGACACCACCUGACUGCCAGAUGUCACGUGACCCAAACGUGAAAAUACUCUUCAUCAUUACAGUGCCCCGCGCAGGAGCAGAGCCAACACAACCACGUGUAUUAACAGUUAGAAUUCUAUCACCUAAACAUAAAGGUUUCAAGUAUAGCUAAAGUCCAAUUUUUUUUUUCGUUUUGGCUAGAAUUUUGGAAAAGGUUAAAACACAUUUUAUAAAUAC